CUUCGGGAUGCCGGCGAGCGGCGGACGGGUGAGUAAUGCCUAGGAAUCUGCCUGGUAGUGGGGGAUAACUCGGGGAAACUCGAGCUAAUACCGCAUACGUCCUACGGGAGAAAGCGGGGGAUCUUCGGACCUCGCGCUACCAGAUGAGCCUAGGUCGGAUUAGCUAGUUGGUGAGGUAAAGGCUCACCAAGGCGACGAUCCGUAGCUGGUCUGAGAGGAUGAUCAGCCACACUGGAACUGAGACACGGUCCAGACUCCUACGGGAGGCAGCAGUGGGGAAUAUUGGACAAUGGGCGAAAGCCUGAUCCAGCCAUGCCGCGUGUGUGAAGAAGGUCUUCGGAUUGUAAAGCACUUUAAGUUGGGAGGAAGGGCAGUAAGCUAAUACCUUGCUGUUUUGACGUUACCGACAGAAUAAGCACCGGCUAACUUCGUGCCAGCAGCCGCGGUAAUACAAAGGGUGCAAGCGUUAAUCGGAAUUACUGGGCGUAAAGCGCGCGUAGGUGGUUUGAUAAGUUGGAUGUG
RNAcentral lists this ribosomal RNA (522 nucleotides) under Stutzerimonas stutzeri. RNAcentral's name for it is "bacterial SSU rRNA". It matches the Rfam family "Bacterial small subunit ribosomal RNA", at positions 78 to 596 of the family's 1533-position model. The record is from RNAcentral. Lineage: Bacteria; Pseudomonadati; Pseudomonadota; Gammaproteobacteria; Pseudomonadales; Pseudomonadaceae.